CAGAACCUGGUUGAUCCUGCCAGUAGUCAUAUGCUUGUCUUAAAGAUUAAGCCAUGCAUGUCUAAGUAUAAAUAGUAUACAGUGAAACUGCGAAUGGCUCAUUAAAACAGUUAUAGUUUAUUUGAUAAUUGAAUUAUACAUGGAUAACCGUGGUAAUUCUAGAGCUAAUACAUGCAGCAAAACCUGAUUUAAGGG
This 195-nucleotide ribosomal RNA is filed under the name uncultured eukaryote. RNAcentral describes it as "partial 18S ribosomal RNA". It matches the Rfam family "Eukaryotic small subunit ribosomal RNA", at positions 1 to 195 of the family's 1831-position model. The record is from RNAcentral.